This is a non-coding RNA of Triticum aestivum (bread wheat), 103 nucleotides long. Lineage: Eukaryota; Viridiplantae; Streptophyta; Magnoliopsida; Poales; Poaceae. The record is from Rfam.
GUCCCUUCUCGGAAAUCUGAUAAAACUGGAAUGAGACAAACAAGAUUAGCAUGGCCCAUGCCCAGGAAUAACCUGCAUAUAUCAAGAAAAAAACGUAUGCAUU